GGGGCCUUAGCUCAGGGGUUUAGAGCGUGAGAUUGCAGAUCCCAAGGUCGUUGGUUCGAUUCCGACAGGCCCCU
This 74-nucleotide transfer RNA is filed under the name Niveomyces insectorum RCEF 264. RNAcentral describes it as "Sporothrix insectorum RCEF 264 tRNA". It matches the Rfam family "tRNA". From Rfam's summary of the family: Transfer RNA (tRNA) molecules are approximately 80 nucleotides in length. Their secondary structure includes four short double-helical elements and three loops (D, anti-codon, and T loops). The record is from Rfam by way of RNAcentral. Lineage: Eukaryota; Fungi; Ascomycota; Sordariomycetes; Hypocreales; Cordycipitaceae.